UGCAAGUCGAACGGUAACAGGCCGCAAGGUGCUGACGAGUGGCGAACGGGUGAGUAAUGCAUCGGAACGUGCCCAGUCGUGGGGGAUAACGCAGCGAAAGCUGCGCUAAUACCGCAUACGAUCUAUGGAUGAAAGCGGGGGACCGUAAGGCCUCGCGCGAUUGGAGCGGCCGAUGUCAGAUUAGGUAGUUGGUGGGGUAAAGGCUCACCAAGCCAACGAUCUGUAGCUGGUCUGAGAGGACGACCAGCCACACUGGGACUGAGACACGGCCCAGACUCCUACGGGAGGCAGCAGUGGGGAAUUUUGGACAAUGGGCGCAAGCCUGAUCCAGCAAUGCCGCGUGCAGGAAGAAGGCCUUCGGGUUGUAAACUGCUUUUGUACGGAACGAAACGGCUCUGGUUAAUACCUGGGGCUAAGGGCGGUACCGUAAGAAUAAGCACCGGCUAACUACGUGCCAGCAGCCGCGGUAAUACGUAGGGUGCAAGCGUUAAUCGGAAUUACUGGGCGUAAAGCGUGCGCAGGCGGUUUUGUAAGACAGGCGUGAAAUCCCCGGGCUCAACCUGGGAAUGGCGCUUGUGACUGCAAAGCUGGAGUGCGGCAGAGGGGGAUGGAAUUCCGCGUGUAGCAGUGAAAUGCGUAGAUAUGCGGAGGAACACCGAUGGCGAAGGCAAUCCCCUGGGCCUGCACUGACGCUCAUGCA
Molecule: ribosomal RNA, 700 nt
Filed under: uncultured beta proteobacterium
Lineage: Bacteria; Pseudomonadati; Pseudomonadota; Betaproteobacteria
Description: bacterial SSU rRNA
Rfam family: Bacterial small subunit ribosomal RNA
Source: RNAcentral